AUGAGCCAAGAUUGGUAGCCUUUAAGCUACUACUGAUUUUAAACUGAAGAGUUUGAUCAUGGCUCAGAUUG
This 71-nucleotide ribosomal RNA is filed under the name Acinetobacter sp. ANC 4648. Its description in RNAcentral is "partial 16S ribosomal RNA". The record is from RNAcentral. Lineage: Bacteria; Pseudomonadati; Pseudomonadota; Gammaproteobacteria; Moraxellales; Moraxellaceae.